UGGGGAAUAUUGCGCAAUGGGCGAAAGCCUGACGCAGCGACGCCGCGUGAGGGAUGAAGGCCUUCGGGUUGUAAACCUCUUUCAGCAGGGACGAAGCGAAAGUGACGGUACCUGCAGAAGAAGCACCGGCUAACUACGUGCCAGCAGCCGCGGUAAUACGUAGGGUGCAAGCAUUGUCCGGAUUUAUUGGGCGUAAAGAGCUCGUAGGCGGCUUGUCACGUCGGGUGUGAAAACUCGGGGCUCAACCCCGAGCCGGCACUCGAUACGGGCUAGCUAGAGUAUUGCAGGGGAGACUGGAAUUCCUGGUGUAGCGGUGAAAUGCGCAGAUAUCAGGAGGAACACCGGUGGCGAAGGCGGGUCUCUGGGCAAUUACUGACGCUGAGGAGCGAAAGCGUGGGGAGCAAACAGG
This 409-nucleotide ribosomal RNA is filed under the name uncultured bacterium. Its description in RNAcentral is "bacterial SSU rRNA". It matches the Rfam family "Bacterial small subunit ribosomal RNA", at positions 355 to 776 of the family's 1533-position model. The record is from RNAcentral.